This 742-nucleotide ribosomal RNA is filed under the name Escherichia coli. RNAcentral's name for it is "partial 23S ribosomal RNA". It matches the Rfam family "Bacterial large subunit ribosomal RNA", at positions 2114 to 2850 of the family's 2925-position model. The record is from RNAcentral. Lineage: Bacteria; Pseudomonadati; Pseudomonadota; Gammaproteobacteria; Enterobacterales; Enterobacteriaceae.
ACACUGAACAUUGAGCCUUGAUGUGUAGGAUAGGUGGGAGGCUUAGAAGUGUGGACGCCAGUCUGCAUGGAGCCGACCUUGAAAUACCACCCUUUAAUGUUUGAUGUUCUAACGUUGACCCGUAAUCCGGGUUGCGGACAGUGUCUGGUGGGUAGUUUGACUGGGGCGGUCUCCUCCUAAAGAGUAACGGAGGAGCACGAAGGUUGGCUAAUCCUGGUCGGACAUCAGGAGGUUAGUGCAAUGGCAUAAGCCAGCUUGACUGCGAGCGUGACGGCGCGAGCAGGUGCGAAAGCAGGUCAUAGUGAUCCGGUGGUUCUGAAUGGAAGGGCCAUCGCUCAACGGAUAAAAGGUACUCCGGGGAUAACAGGCUGAUACCGCCCAAGAGUUCAUAUCGACGGCGGUGUUUGGCACCUCGAUGUCGGCUCAUCACAUCCUGGGGCUGAAGUAGGUCCCAAGGGUAUGGCUGUUCGCCAUUUAAAGUGGUACGCGAGCUGGGUUUAGAACGUCGUGAGACAGUUCGGUCCCUAUCUGCCGUGGGCGCUGGAGAACUGAGGGGGGCUGCUCCUAGUACGAGAGGACCGGAGUGGACGCAUCACUGGUGUUCGGGUUGUCAUGCCAAUGGCACUGCCCGGUAGCUAAAUGCGGAAGAGAUAAGUGCUGAAAGCAUCUAAGCACGAAACUUGCCCCGAGAUGAGUUCUCCCUGACUCCUUGAGAGUCCUGAAGGAACGUUGAAGACGACGA